UACGAAGGGUGCAAGCGUUACUCGGAAUUACUGGGCGUAAAGCGUGCGUAGGCGGUUUGUUAAGUCUGUCGUGAAAGCCCUGGGCUCAACCUGGGAAUUGCGAUGGAUACUGGCAAGCUAGAGUACGGUAGAGGAUGGUGGAAUUCCCGGUGUAGCGGUGAAAUGCGUAGAGAUCGGGAGGAACACCGGUGGCGAAGGCGGCUCUCUGGACCACUACUGACGCUGAGGCACGAAGGCCAGGGGAGCAAACGGG
This 253-nucleotide ribosomal RNA is filed under the name uncultured bacterium. RNAcentral describes it as "partial 16S ribosomal RNA". It matches the Rfam family "Bacterial small subunit ribosomal RNA", at positions 524 to 776 of the family's 1533-position model. The record is from RNAcentral.